GACGAACGCUGGCGGCGUGCUUAACACAUGCAAGUCGAACGGACUACUUUGCUUCGGUAAGGUGGUUAGUGGCGAACGGGAGAGUAACGCGUAGACAACCUACCUCUUAGAUGGGGACAACAUCGCGAAAGCGGUGCUAAUACCGAAUGAAGUGACUUUCCUGCAUGGGAGAGAUACUAAAGGUGGCCUCUAUUUAUAAGCUACCACUGAGAGAUGGGUCUGCGUCUGAUUAGCUAGUUGGCGGGGUAAUGGCCCACCAAGGCGACGAUCAGUAGCCGGUCUGAGAGGAUGAACGGCCACAUUGGGACUGAGACACGGCCCAAACUCCUACGGGAGGCAGCAGUGGGGAAUCUUCCGCAAUGGACGAAAGUCUGACGGAGCAACGCCGCGUGAGUGAAGAAGGUUUUCGGAUCGUAAAGCUCUGUUGUUUGAGACGAAUGUGCCUGUUUCAAAUAGGGAUAGGUAAUGACGGUAUUAAACGAGAAAGCCACGGCUAACUACGUGCCAGCCGCCGCCGUAA
Molecule: ribosomal RNA, 520 nt
Filed under: uncultured bacterium
Lineage: Bacteria
Description: partial 16S ribosomal RNA
Rfam family: Bacterial small subunit ribosomal RNA
Source: RNAcentral